RNAcentral lists this ribosomal RNA (424 nucleotides) under uncultured prokaryote. RNAcentral describes it as "bacterial SSU rRNA". It matches the Rfam family "Bacterial small subunit ribosomal RNA", at positions 355 to 796 of the family's 1533-position model. The record is from RNAcentral.
UGAGGAAUAUUGGACAAUGGGGGCAACCCUGAUCCAGCCAUGCCGCGUGCGCGAUGAAGGCCUUAGGGUUGUAAAGCGCUUUCACCCGUGAAGAUGAUGACGGUAGCGGGAGAAGAAGCCCCGGCUAACUCCGUGCCAGCAGCCGCGGUAAUACGGAGGGGGCUAGCGUUGUUCGGAAUUACUGGGCGUAAAGGGCGCGUAGGCGGCUUGGUAAGUUGGGGGUGAAAGGCCUGGGCUCAACCUAGGAACUGCCUCCAAAACUGCCUGGCUUGAGAUCGGGAGAGGAUGGUGGAAUUCCCAGUGUAGAGGUGAAAUUCGUAGAUAUUGGGAAGAACACCAGUGGCGAAGGCGGCCAUCUGGACCGAUUCUGACGCUGAGGCGCGAAAGCGUGGGGAGCAAACAGGAUUAGAUACCCCCGUAGUCC